UAUAUUUUUACAGAAAGGAGGGACUUGACUAGCCCAACCUUACUCACACCUCCUGUUUCCAAGAACUGGGUUCCAUAGCCAUUUUCCUGAUUUCCCAAGAGAAGAAUUUCCAGAGAGACACCUGCAGCAUCUCCCCUGCUCAGUCAUGCUCCUGUUGCUCCUGGCAGUACUGGGGAUGAUUUUUGCCCUGCGAGAUGCCAGAGCCCAGUCUGUGACUCAGCAGGUCGGCCCUGUCACUGUCUCUGAGGGAGACUUUCUGGAGUUGAGAUGCAACUAUUCAUAUGGUGCUACUCCUUCUCUCUACUGGUAUGUCCAGUACCCAGGCCAAGACCUCCAGCUUCUCCUCAGAUACUACUCAGGGGACCCCAUUGUGAAAGGCAUCAAUGGCUUUGAGGCGGAAUUUAGGAAGAGAGAAUCUUCCUUCAACUUGAGGAAACACCCAGUGCAUUGGAGUGACUCAGCUGUGUACUUCUGUGCUGUGAGUGCCACAGUGCCUGGGACUGCAGGGGGAGCUGAACACAAACUUUGUGAGGAUGCUAGGGAGGGUGAACUGAGAGCUCAGUCAGUGACUCAGCCGGACGCUCAGAUUACUGUCUCUGAAGGGAAUCCUCUGACUGUGAAAUGCACCUAUUCAAUUUCUGGGAGCCCUUAUCUCUUUUGGUAUGUCCAGUAUCCCAAGGAAGGCCUCCAGUUUCUUCUAAAAUACAUCACAGGGGACAACCUGGUUAAAGGCAACUAUGGUUUUGAGGCUGAAUUUAAUAAGAGCCAAACCUCUUUUCACCUGAAGAAAACAUCUGCCCUUUGGAGUGACUCUGCUGUGUACUUCUGUGCUGUGAGUGACACACUGAUGAAACUUCAAGGGAAGCUGAACAGAAACGCUUGA
This is a non-coding RNA of Nycticebus coucang (slow loris), 883 nucleotides long. The record is from the annotation of a RefSeq genome assembly. NCBI's taxonomy places the organism in Eukaryota, Metazoa, Chordata, Mammalia, Primates, Lorisidae.